RNAcentral lists this ribosomal RNA (472 nucleotides) under uncultured bacterium. Its description in RNAcentral is "bacterial SSU rRNA". It matches the Rfam family "Bacterial small subunit ribosomal RNA", at positions 33 to 507 of the family's 1533-position model. The record is from RNAcentral.
GACGACGCUGGCGGCGUGCCUAACACAUGCAAGUCGAACGGAGAUGAUGGGAUAGCUUGCUAUUUAAUCAUCUUAGUGGCGGACGGGUGAGUAACACGUGGGCAACCUGCCCCAAAGAGGGGGAUAACACCGAGAAAUCGGUGCUAAUACCGCAUAACAUUAGAGCUUCGCAUGGAGCUUUAAUCAAAGGAGCAAUCCGCUUUGGGAUGGGCCCGCGUCUGAUUAGCUAGUUGGUGAGGUAACGGCUCACCAAGGCGACGAUCAGUAGCCGAUCUGAGAGGAUGACCGGCCACACUGGAACUGAGACACGGUCCAGACUCCUACGGGAGGCAGCAGUGGGGAAUAUUGCACAAUGGGGGAAACCCUGAUGCAGCAACGCCGCGUGGAGGAAGAAGGUCUUCGGAUUGUAAACUCCUGUCUUCUGGGACGAAUAAUGACGGUACCAGAGGAGGAAGCCACGGCUAACUACGUG